RNAcentral lists this transfer RNA (87 nucleotides) under Candidatus Daviesbacteria bacterium. RNAcentral describes it as "tRNA-Ser". It matches the Rfam family "tRNA". From Rfam's summary of the family: Transfer RNA (tRNA) molecules are approximately 80 nucleotides in length. The record is from RNAcentral. Lineage: Bacteria; Candidatus Daviesiibacteriota.
GGUGGGGUGCUGGAGCGGUUUAACAGGAUAGUCUUGAAAACUAUUGUGGCUGAAAGGUCACCGUGAGUUCGAAUCUCACCCCCACCG